RNAcentral lists this ribosomal RNA (555 nucleotides) under uncultured bacterium. Its description in RNAcentral is "bacterial SSU rRNA". It matches the Rfam family "Bacterial small subunit ribosomal RNA", at positions 58 to 605 of the family's 1533-position model. The record is from RNAcentral.
CGAAGUCGAACGACUGAAGCCCAGCUUGCUGGUGGAUUAGUGGCGAACGGUGGGUAACACGUGAGUAACCUGCCCUUAACUCUGGGAUAAGCCUGGGAAACUGGGUCUAAUACCGGAUAGGAGCGUCCACCGCAUGGUGGGUGUUGGAAAGAUUUAUCGGUUUUGGAUGGACUCGCGGCCUAUCAGCUUGUUGGUGAGGUAAUGGCUCACCAAGGCGACGACGGGUAGCCGACCUGAGAGGGUGAUCGACCACACUGGGACUGAGACACGGCCCAGACUCCUACGGGAGGCAGCAGUAGGGAAUCUUCGGCAAUGGACGGAAGUCUGACCGAGCAACGCCGCGUGAGUGAAGAAGGUUUUCGGAUCGUAAAGCUCUGUUGUAAGAGAAGAACGAGUGUGAGAGUGGAAAGUUCACACUGUGACGGUAUCUUACCAGAAAGGGACGGCUAACUACGUGCCAGCAGCCGCGGUAAUACGUAGGUCCCGAGCGUUGUCCGGAUUUAUUGGGCGUAAAGCGAGCGCAGGCGGUUAGAUAAGUCUGAAGUUAAAGGCUGU